This 2929-nucleotide ribosomal RNA is filed under the name Escherichia coli. RNAcentral's name for it is "bacterial LSU rRNA". It matches the Rfam family "Bacterial large subunit ribosomal RNA". The record is from RNAcentral. Lineage: Bacteria; Pseudomonadati; Pseudomonadota; Gammaproteobacteria; Enterobacterales; Enterobacteriaceae.
GGGUUGUGAGGUUAAGCGACUAAGCGUACACGGUGGAUGCCCUGGCAGUCAGAGGCGAUGAAGGACGUGCUAAUCUGCGAUAAGCGUCGGUAAGGUGAUAUGAACCGUUAUAACCGGCGAUUUCCGAAUGGGGAAACCCAGUGUGUUUCGACACACUAUCAUUAACUGAAUCCAUAGGUUAAUGAGGCGAACCGGGGGAACUGAAACAUCUAAGUACCCCGAGGAAAAGAAAUCAACCGAGAUUCCCCCAGUAGCGGCGAGCGAACGGGGAGGAGCCCAGAGCCUGAAUCAGUGUGUGUGUUAGUGGAAGCGUCUGGAAAGGCGCGCGAUACAGGGUGACAGCCCCGUACACAAAAAUGCACAUAUUGUGAGCUCGAUGAGUAGGGCGGGACACGUGGUAUCCUGUCUGAAUAUGGGGGGACCAUCCUCCAAGGCUAAAUACUCCUGACUGACCGAUAGUGAACCAGUACCGUGAGGGAAAGGCGAAAAGAACCCCGGCGAGGGGAGUGAAAAAGAACCUGAAACCGUGUACGUACAAGCAGUGGGAGCACAGAGCAAUCUGUGUGACUGCGUACCUUUUGUAUAAUGGGUCAGCGACUUAUAUUCUGUAGCAAGGUUAACCGAAUAGGGGAGCCGAAGGGAAACCGAGUCUUAACUGGGCGUUAAGUUGCAGGGUAUAGACCCGAAACCCGGUGAUCUAGCCAUGGGCAGGUUGAAGGUUGGGUAACACUAACUGGAGGACCGAACCGACUAAUGUUGAAAAAUUAGCGGAUGACUUGUGGCUGGGGGUGAAAGGCCAAUCAAACCGGGAGAUAGCUGGUUCUCCCCGAAAGCUAUUUAGGUAGCGCCUCGUGAAUUCAUCUCCGGGGGUAGAGCACUGUUUCGGCAAGGGGGUCAUCCCGACUUACCAACCCGAUGCAAACUGCGAAUACCGGAGAAUGUUAUCACGGGAGACACACGGCGGGUGCUAACGUCCGUCGUGAAGAGGGAAACAACCCAGACCGCCAGCUAAGGUCCCAAAGUCAUGGUUAAGUGGGAAACGAUGUGGGAAGGCCCAGACAGCCAGGAUGUUGGCUUAGAAGCAGCCAUCAUUUAAAGAAAGCGUAAUAGCUCACUGGUCGAGUCGGCCUGCGCGGAAGAUGUAACGGGGCUAAACCAUGCACCGAAGCUGCGGCAGCGACGCUUAUGCGUUGUUGGGUAGGGGAGCGUUCUGUAAGCCUGUGAAGGUGUGCUGUGAGGCAUGCUGGAGGUAUCAGAAGUGCGAAUGCUGACAUAAGUAACGAUAAAGCGGGUGAAAAGCCCGCUCGCCGGAAGACCAAGGGUUCCUGUCCAACGUUAAUCGGGGCAGGGUGAGUCGACCCCUAAGGCGAGGCCGAAAGGCGUAGUCGAUGGGAAACAGGUUAAUAUUCCUGUACUUGGUGUUACUGCGAAGGGGGGACGGAGAAGGCUAUGUUGGCCGGGCGACGGUUGUCCCGGUUUAAGCGUGUAGGCUGGUUUUCCAGGCAAAUCCGGAAAAUCAAGGCUGAGGCGUGAUGACGAGGCACUACGGUGCUGAAGCAACAAAUGCCCUGCUUCCAGGAAAAGCCUCUAAGCAUCAGGUAACAUCAAAUCGUACCCCAAACCGACACAGGUGGUCAGGUAGAGAAUACCAAGGCGCUUGAGAGAACUCGGGUGAAGGAACUAGGCAAAAUGGUGCCGUAACUUCGGGAGAAGGCACGCUGAUAUGUAGGUGAAGUCCCUCGCGGAUGGAGCUGAAAUCAGUCGAAGAUACCAGCUGGCUGCAACUGUUUAUUAAAAACACAGCACUGUGCAAACACGAAAGUGGACGUAUACGGUGUGACGCCUGCCCGGUGCCGGAAGGUUAAUUGAUGGGGUUAGCGGUAACGCGAAGCUCUUGAUCGAAGCCCCGGUAAACGGCGGCCGUAACUAUAACGGUCCUAAGGUAGCGAAAUUCCUUGUCGGGUAAGUUCCGACCUGCACGAAUGGCGUAAUGAUGGCCAGGCUGUCUCCACCCGAGACUCAGUGAAAUUGAACUCGCUGUGAAGAUGCAGUGUACCCGCGGCAAGACGGAAAGACCCCGUGAACCUUUACUAUAGCUUGACACUGAACAUUGAGCCUUGAUGUGUAGGAUAGGUGGGAGGCUUUGAAGUGUGGACGCCAGUCUGCAUGGAGCCGGCCUUGAAAUACCACCCUUUAAUGUUUGAUGUUCUAACGUGGACCCGUGAUCCGGGUUGCGGACAGUGUCUGGUGGGUAGUUUGACUGGGGCGGUCUCCUCCUAAAGAGUAACGGAGGAGCACGAAGGUUGGCUAAUCCUGGUCGGACAUCAGGAGGUUAGUGCAAUGGCAUAAGCCAGCUUGACUGCGAGCGUGACGGCGCGAGCAGGUGCGAAAGCAGGUCAUAGUGAUCCGGUGGUUCUGAAUGGAAGGGCCAUCGCUCAACGGAUAAAAGGUACUCCGGGGAUAACAGGCUGAUACCGCCCAAGAGUUCAUAUCGACGGCGGUGUUUGGCACCUCGAUGUCGGCUCAUCACAUCCUGGGGCUGAAGUAGGUCCCAAGGGUAUGGCUGUUCGCCAUUUAAAGUGGUACGCGAGCUGGGUUUAGAACGUCGUGAGACAGUUCGGUCCCUAUCUGCCGUGGGCGCUGGAGAACUGAGGGGGGCUGCUCCUAGUACGAGAGGACCGGAGUGGACGCAUCACUGGUGUUCGGGUUGUCAUGCCAAUGGCACUGCCCGGUAGCUAAAUGCGGAAGAGAUAAGUGCUGAAAGCAUCUAAGCACGAAACUUGCCCCGAGAUGAGUUCUCCCUGACUCCUUGAGAGUCCUGAAGGAACGUUGAAGACGACGACGUUGAUAGGCCGGGUGUGUAAGCGCAGCGAUGCGUUGAGCUAACCGGUACUAAUGAACCGUGAGGCUUAACCUUACAACGCCGAAG